GCGAACGCUGGCGGCAGGCCUAACACAUGCAAGUCGAACGAACCUUCGGGUUAGUGGCGGACGGGUGAGUAACACGUGGGAACGUGCCCUUUGGUUCGGAACAACUCAGGGAAACUUGAGCUAAUACCGAAUGUGCCCUUCGGGGGAAAGAUUUAUCGCCAUUGGAGCGGCCCGCGUCUGAUUAGCUUGUUGGUGAGGUAAAGGCUCACCAAGGCUACGAUCAGUAGCUGGUCUGAGAGGAUGAUCAGCCACAUUGGGACUGAGACACGGCCCAAACUCCUACGGGAGGCAGCAGUGGGGAAUCUUGCGCAAUGGGCGAAAGCCUGACGCAGCCAUGCCGCGUGAAUGAUGAAGGUCUUAGGAUUGUAAAAUUCUUUCACCGGGGACGAUAAUGACGGUACCCGGAGAAGAAGCCCCGGCUAACUUCGU
This 429-nucleotide ribosomal RNA is filed under the name uncultured bacterium. RNAcentral describes it as "bacterial SSU rRNA". It matches the Rfam family "Bacterial small subunit ribosomal RNA", at positions 29 to 506 of the family's 1533-position model. The record is from RNAcentral.